Molecule: long non-coding RNA, 454 nt
Organism: Erpetoichthys calabaricus (reedfish)
Lineage: Eukaryota; Metazoa; Chordata; Cladistia; Polypteriformes; Polypteridae
Exons: 3
Source: RefSeq, a predicted model, not a curated record
AAGGACUCCAACCACUGUCCAGCAAAGGCUCAGAUUGUGGAGGAUCUACACUGUGCUUCUGACUGACAAACUACAAGCCUCUGCUUAUCAGUAAAUACAGGAUAUUCAAGCUGGAUGUCCAAAGUAAUAAGGCUGUGAACUCCAGUGAACAUUUGGGUGUUUUGCAACCAAGUGUGAAACGAAGCGGGAUGUGGAUCAGGAUCUCCAAAUCUGAGGCCAUGGUCCUAAGUAGGAAAAAAUGUGGACUGUCUUCUUCAAGUGAAGGGUUAGGCCACCAUAUUGACUCACCAUAAUUUGGACCUUCCAGAUAAGGUGGAUUAAUCCUACAAUCAGUUGAAACGCAGACAGGUGAUCUCCACUGAAAUAAUUAUGAAACCUCUAAAAUCAAUUGGCUGUGCCAGUGAUGACCUAGGGAUGACAUAUUAAAGGUGAUUAGAGUGGAUUUUACAUUUCA